GCGUGCUUAACACAUGCAAGUCGAGCGGAAAGGCCCUUUCGGGGGUACUCGAGCGGCGAACGGGUGAGUAACACGUGAGUAAUCUGCCCUGCGCUCUGGGAUAGCCACCGGAAACGGUGAUUAAUACCGGAUAGGACCACUUCACGCAUGUGAUGGUGGUGGAAAGUUUUUUCGGCGCAGGAUGUGCUCGCGGCCUAUCAGCUUGUUGGUGAGGUAACGGCUCACCAAGGCUUUGACGGGUAACCGGCCUGAGAGGGUGACCGGUCACACUGGGACUGAGACACGGCCCAGACUCCUACGGGAGGCAGCAGUGGGGAAUAUUGGACAAUGGGCGGAAGCCUGAUCCAGCAACGCCGCGUGAGGGAUGACGGCCUUCGGGUUGUAAACCUCUUUCAGUACCGACGAAGCGAAAGUGACGGUAGGUACAGAAGAAGGACCGGCCAACUACGUGCCAGCAGCCGCGGUAAUACGUAGGGUCCGAGCGUUGUCCGGAAUUAUUGGGCGUAAAGGGCUCGUAGGCGGUUUGUCGCGUCGGGAGUGAAAACACCGGGCUUAACUCGGUGCUUGCUUUCGAUACGGGCAGACUAGAGGUAUGCAGGGGAGAAUGGAAUUCCUGGUGUAGCGGUGAAAUGCGCAGAUAUCAGGAGGAACACCGGUGGCGAAGG
This 665-nucleotide ribosomal RNA is filed under the name uncultured Actinomycetes bacterium. Its description in RNAcentral is "bacterial SSU rRNA". It matches the Rfam family "Bacterial small subunit ribosomal RNA", at positions 42 to 721 of the family's 1533-position model. The record is from RNAcentral. Lineage: Bacteria; Bacillati; Actinomycetota; Actinomycetes.